UACCGCAUAAGACCACGCCCUCUAAAGAGGAUGCGGUCAAAGCUGGCCUCUACACGUAAGCUAGCACUUGAGAAUGAGCCCGCGGCCCAUCAGGUAGUUGGUAGGGUAAUGGCCUACCAAGCCUAAGACGGGUAGCUGGUCUGAGAGGAUGAUCAGCCACACUGGAACUGAGACACGGUCCAGACUCCUACGGGAGGCAGCAGUGGGGAAUCUUGCGCAAUGGGCGAAAGCCUGACGCAGCGACGCCGCGUGAGUGAUGAAGGCCUUCGGGUUGUAAAGCUCUGUGGGGAGAGAAGAAUAAGUGCAGCCUAAUAUGCUGCAUGAUGACGGUAUCUCCUUAGCAAGCACCGGCUAACUCUGUGCCAGCAGCCGCGGUAAGACAGAGGGUGCAAACGUUGUUCGGAAUUACUGGGCGUAAAGCGUGUGUAGGCGGCCACAUAAGUCGGAUGUGAAAGCCCCGGGCUCAACCCGGGAAGUGCACUCGAUACUGUGUGGCUUGAGUACUGGAGAGGUUGGUGGAAUUCUCGGUGUAGAGGUGAAAUUCGUAGAUAUCGAGAGGAACACCGGUGGCGAAGGCGGCCAACUGGACAGAUACUGACGCUGAGACACGAAAGCGUGGGUAGCAAACAGGAUUAGAUACCCUGGUAGUCCACGCCGUAAGCGAUGGGUGCUAGGUGUCACUGGCAUUGACUCCGGUGGUGCCGUAGCUAACGCAUUAAGCACCCCGCCUGGGAAGUACGGCCGCAAGGCUAAAACUCAANGGAAUUGACGGGGGCCC
This 778-nucleotide ribosomal RNA is filed under the name uncultured bacterium. Its description in RNAcentral is "bacterial SSU rRNA". It matches the Rfam family "Bacterial small subunit ribosomal RNA", at positions 167 to 922 of the family's 1533-position model. The record is from RNAcentral.